Equus caballus (horse) is the source of this 10247-nucleotide long non-coding RNA. NCBI's taxonomy places the organism in Eukaryota, Metazoa, Chordata, Mammalia, Perissodactyla, Equidae. The record is from Ensembl.
GCAAGGACACAGCACGAAGACAGCCAUCUAUGAACCAGGAGAUCCCCGACACGAGAGCUCAGCAUGGCUUACACCGUGAUUUCAGCCAGCCUUGUGAUAUUCUGAGCAGAGAACUUGGCCAUUCUGUGCUGGACUUCUGACCUACAGAACUUAUCUUCCUGCUUCUUUCAUCAAAAUCACUGUAGUCCAAGUUACCAUCAUUUCAUCUGAACUACUGAAAUAGUCACUACAAAGGCUUCCUGGACCUAAUUCCAAUGUAUGUGUGUGUGGAGGCUUCCCCACACCAACAAGCAGUUCUUGGACACCAACAGAGUGUCAGAAAACUCAAUUCUGAUACUAUCUACCUGAGGUAGAAUCAGAUUCCACAGCUUGGUGGUAGACAGCUGAAGCCUUACUGGCCUGAGGCAUCAGAGGACAGAAUCUGAAGCUGGAAGAGCAGCUAAAAUUUAAGAGAAGAACUCCCAAAAGCAACAUGAUCCUGGAGAGGGUGAGUCCUCAAAUCUGUGUACACACUCUGCUCAAAUACUUGGCUGACUGCUCAUCUAUGCAAAUAAAGGUGACACUCUCAGGGUUCCAGGCUAAGAAAUGAAGUAUUGGGAAGCAGUGAAAAUCAAGCAGAGAUAUCAGCUGUUGUAAAAUGUAUGAUAGACAGUUUGCACUUUGAGUAAGGAGUAGGUAAUUGCCUACUCGAAUAACAACAAAACACAGAAAACAAAAAAGAAAACAACAAUAAACAGCAAUCCUCAGAAGAACACAGCAGAGUACAAUACCUACAAUGCCUAGUUUCCAACUAAAAAUCCUUAGACCUGCCAAAAAACAGGAAAAUGUGACCUACACUUACAGGGAGAAAAAAAGCAAUCAAUAGAAAUUGUCUUUGAAUGGGUCUAGAAACUGUUUUUAGCAGAUGAUGAUAUCAAAACUGCUAUUAUAAACGUGCUCAAAAAUUAAAAGACAAAUGUGAUUAAAUAAUAAAGAAGAAUUUGUCUUCUGAGUGAAGAGUUAGGAAAAAGUCAACAGAAAUGGAAACAAAGAUAUUCUACAGCUGAAAGUUAUAAUAACUAAAAGGGAAAAUUGACAGACUCAACAACAUUUGGAAGUGGGAGAAAAUAAUUAGUAAACUUAGAUAAAUGAAAAUGACCUAGUGAGACAAGCAGAGGAAAGUUUAUUCAAAAAAGAAAAAAAAGGAAAACCUGAGCAGAGCCUUAGAGAGCUGUGAAACAACAUCCAGCAGUCCAACACGUAUAUAAUUUGUGUCCCAGAUGGGAGGAGGGAGAGAAAGGUGCCAGAAAAAUAUUUGAAAUUAUACUAGUCAACUCUUCCCAAAUUUGGUAGGAAAAAAAGUAAAGUGAAGAUUCAAGAAUUUUUAAUAAACCUCAAGCGGGCUGAAAACAAAGAAAAUUCCACUUAGUGCAUUUUAGUCAAACUAAAUGUUAGCUCAGCAACGAUCUUCCUCAAGCAAAACGAGGAAGAUUGGCGACAGAUGUUAGCUCAGGGCUAAUCCUCACACAAACACAAAAAGUGAAUUUUGUAUUUACCUUCAUUUAUGACAUUUCCACUGUUCUUUAUUUCUUGAUGUAGAUACAAGUUUCUCUGUGGUAUCAUAUUUAUGCUGCCUGGAACAUUUUCUUUAACCUUUGUUACAAUAUAAAUGAGCUGGCAAUGAAUUUUCUAAAUUUUUCUUCCUCUGAUAAAGUCUUUAUUUCUCUUUUAUUUUUGAAAUAUUUUUUCAGAAGAUAGAAUUCUUGAUCUUUUUUUCUUUCAGCACUGUAAAGAUGUCACUAUAUUGUUUUCAGGUGUGCGUUCUUUAUGAUGAGAAGUUUGAUGUAAUUCUCAUCUUUGUUCCUCUGUAAAGUGCUGUUAAUCUUUGGCCUUUUAAAAGAUAUUCUCUUCUUUUUACCUUUUGAGUAGUUUGAAUAUGAUAUUUCUGUGCUUGUGUGUUUUAUAUUUAUCCUGCAUAAUGUUCUUUGAGAUUCUUUGAUCUGUGUUUUGGAAAAUUCUCAGCCAUUAUCUCUUGAAAGAUUUACUUUUCCUAGUUCCCUUUCUCUCUCUUUUAAAAUUCAAAUAACAUAUAUGUUAGGUUGUUGAUAUUAUCUCACAGCUCUUGUAUGCUCUCCUUUGUUGUUGUUUUUUUCUCUUUCCUACUCUUUCCUCUUUGUGGUUCAAUUUGGGUUAUUUCUAUUAAUUGGUUUUCAAGUUCACUGAUUCUUUCCUCUGCUGAGUCAAAUCUACUGAUGAACCUGUCAAAGAUAUUCUUCAUUGAUGUUUCUAUGUUUUUCAUUUCAAAUAUGUCCAUUUAAUUCUCUUUUAGUUUCCUCUUUCUGCUGAAAUUUCCCAUCAGAUUAUGAAUUUUAUCCCCGUUUCUAUUGGAACCUUUUACAUGUUUAUCAUAAUUAUUUAAAAUUUUCUGUAUUAAAUUUCUCAUAUUUAGGAAGUCUGGUUUUGUUGAUUGUUUUGCCUCUUGAAAGUGAUUUUUUUCUUGCUUCCCUUUAUGCCUUCAAUUUUUUGUCGAAAGCUGACAUCUUGUGUAGAACAAUAGAGAUUGAGGUGAAUAGAUUUUAUGCCUGGAAAUGGGUACACAAAUUGUUUGUUAGGCCUCCAGUGUGGAGGAUUGAGUUAAUUAACCAGGAACUGAACUGAUUUUGGUCUAUGUUGUUGCUAUGGUUAACCUCUGUGCACCACAGACUUCAUUCCUCUAACAUUACCUUGUGUUUAAGGUGGAGACUGGUUUGCCACAGGGUUUUCCCCAAUAUUUGCUUUUUACUCAGCUUUAGGUCUUCCCUUUGAACUUGUACAUCAGAGAUGGUCUUUCUUUACCCUCUAAGCAGAAGACUGCUGUUACUUGAUGCUUGCUAGUCUCGUGGUGGGGCAGGAAGGGGAAGAUAUUCUCCUUUCUCCUGGUUCAGCAUCAGUCUUAGGUAGGCACUGUAUCUCUGGAUUCUGGUUGGGAGUGGGGAGUUUUCUCAGUGAUCCUCCCCUCUCCUGGAGUUGUGCGUUUCAGCCCAGAAUUUAUUUUUCUCCUCCCUCAGGGGUAGAGGGAUUGUUUGGUUUCCUUCCUUCAGAUACACCAGUGCCAUAAAGAGAACAUCUUCACUAGUGCCCUAAAGGGCAAUGGCAUCUUCUGCCCUUCACCCGGCAGUUUAAGGCUUCCGUCCCCUAAGGGAGAUAGGAGAGAAGAAUCUGGGCAGAGCAUCAUGUUUCUUUUUCAGUACUUUUGCUUAUUUUAAAUUUUAUAUCUGUCUUCUUUCAUUCAGCAGUAUGUUUGAAAUAAUUCCACGUGUUUGGGUAUAGUUUGUUCAUUAUUAUUGCUGAAGAGAGUAUCAUUUAUCAAUAAACUGCUAUUUAUUUAUCCAUCCUACUGUUAUUGGGUAUUUGGGAUGUUUCCAGUUUGGGUCUAUUAUGAAUAGAGCUGCUGUAUAUAUUCUUGUAUAUGAGUUUUGGUGAAUACAUAUAUUUUGUUUUUGUUGAGUAUAUUUAUAUCUAUGAAAUAAAUUGCUGAAUCAUAAGCUUUGCAUAUAAUUAGCUUAAGGAGGCACUGCUUAAAAAUUUUCAGAAUCGUAAUACCAAUAUACAUUCCCACAAGCAAUGCAAGCAAAUUUCCACUUCUCCGAAUCCUUUCCAGCACUUCGAAUUUUCUCUCCUUUUCAUGUAGCUAUUCUGGAGAAUAUGAAAUUGUAAUUAUUUCCCUCAUGACUCAUGAGGUUGGCCAACUUUUCACAUGUUGGCCAUGUGUUAUCCUCUUUUUUGAAUUGCCUGAUUAAGUCCUUUAUUCGUAUUUCCGCAACUGGUGUUUCAUCCGUAUUUCUAUGACUGACACAGAAUACAAAAGUCAGAUAUAGACUAAAUAUAUAUGUCAACUGAUUUAAGAUUCUCUGCUUAGUGGAGGAGGUGCCUUUUCAAUAAACGUGGGUGUUAGGAUUAUAGAUGACUUUAUGUUAAUUCCUAUCUUCAUCUUUUUUAUUUUUUCUAAAUGUUCUACAAUGAAUAUAUAUAACUUUAAUCAGUAAAACGAUUUGAAAACUGAAAAUUAAGUCUUGUCAUGACAUAAAUAUUGUUUGUUGAUAUGUAUUGGUAUGCACACCAUAAUUUUGAUCUAAGAAUUGGCUCAAUCAGCAAAAUGGUAAAAUCUGGCUAGAAGUUUAGAACUUAUUUUACAAGAGGAGAAACUAUGUAUGUUUUAGUCAGUAUUCUUUCUAUCGUGUUGAUGAUAAAAUGAAUAAAUGAAUGAAUGGGUGAAUAAAUACAUGACCCAGAGAAAUUCCCUCUUGUGAUUAAUGAAUAAUCUCUGCACUUACUGCCCAUAAGUGCUAUUAAAAUGUUUAUUUUUGAUGUACUACUAAAUCAUUAGGCUCAAAACUGAGUUGGCUUUAUUGUAAAGGCUAAAUCUAUGGGUUAUGUAAUUUUUGAGUGUAUUAACUGAAAUGGUAGUUGUCUUCUUAGAAAGAAAUUAUAUUCUUGGUGAAUUUUUCCAAAUGUUAUAUUAAGCAGUGCAACAUUUUUAAUAGAGAAGAGAUUGAUUUUUAAAUUCUAACUGAUGGCCUGUCAUUUUUAUUAUCUUCGUUUAUCUCACUAAAUCCCUAUUAAAGAUGUGGGGUUUUUUUUUUUGCCUCGUUCAGAAUAGAAUUUACUAGGACUCAUGUUACGUGUUAUGUAGAGUUUAAAAAUGGUAAACUUUUAAUGUCAAUUUUACAAAAGAUGAAACUCCCUUACAACAUUAAAGACAGGAAUUAUACCUUCAUGUAGAAUAUGAUAUGAAGAUUGUAUGAUUGUUAAGCAAAUGGUUGAUUUACAAUAGAAGGUAUGUUUACUAUAACGUUCUUCCCAAAGUUAAUUAAAAAACCUCUCAAUUUUUGUAGUAGAAUAUGAAAGGUCAUGAGAAAAGCAGAUGGAUUUAUUACCUAAAAUUUAUGUAAAUGGAAUACAUGUAUACCAUCCCACCAAAACAAUUUAAUCUGAUUUAGUUACUGUUAGCACAGAUUAGAAUAUAAUUCACUCAAUAAUAUGUCUGCAAACCCAUUGAUUGUAGACAUUGUGCUAUGGAAAAUGUAAAGCUAACAGUAACUAAUGCUCUUGAGAAGUAUGGUAGUUUUUGCAAAUUGUUUGGAAUUAAUUUGUUUUGAGUAAACGGAAAUUAGUCUGUUAAGUGAAGCUUAUAAAAAAGGAUUACAAAGGGGUAGGAGACCAUCUCACCAGGAUAGCUUAAAACCCACACAUUUGUAUGAGUCAGGAGAAGUACUGUCCUUUAAAAACGAUCUUAUUCCUUCCAAUUGCCUCAGCUUUGUGCCUCCUGAUGUGAUCUGGAGAUCCGGCAAAGUAGAAACAUAUUUAGAAUCUUACUCAUUAGAAUAUUGAAUUCAUCCGUCAGCGGGAUUGACAAGGUUUUAGACAAAGCAUUUUGCCUGGCACACAACCUGUACUGAGAUUUUCCUGUGGCUAUAAUGUAGCGCACCUGACAGAUGUUUGAGUCAUUUAACACAGCAGGAGGUUCUCAUAAACACCACAGACUAGCAUUCAACAUGAUAGGGAUUAUUUUUCUUUUGUCUGCCUGAAGUUAUACAGCCUAUAAUCAACAAAGGAUUUAGGCAUAACUAGCUAAAACAUAGGGUGUGAUAUCAUUUAUAUGUAAUAUUUCUCUUGCUUAUAAAGCUUAGAAAAUGUCCCAGAAGCGGAGAUACUUUUUGACACAGGUGAAACACAUUUUAUGUAUGUUUCCCUUUUCAAAUUGGUUUAGAAAAGUAUCAAGGGUAUUAUUUACUCAUGGAGUAAAGAUAUCACCUAUUUAUUUUCUUGAUUGUUCCUUAAAGACGUAAUGGGCUUUACUAAAUCCAUGUUAAUGUUUAAGUUCAACAUGGGGUGAUAAUGUAGAACAACCACAAGGACACUAUUUAAAAAUUCCCAAUAAGUAUGUGUCUGAAUCACAAAGAGAAAAGCAGAAAUAAAUGCACACCAUCUGUAGUUUUAAAAAUUAUACUCCAUGUCCUAAGAGAUGGAGAUAGAUGCUAUUAAUUUAAAUGUCAUGUUUGCAUAGAAUGAAACACAGCACUUUUAAAUUUGGCUUUAUUAAAGUUUCUUUUUUAGCUCGAGUUUUUCAUUUGGUAAAUAGCAAUUGGAGGAAAUGCUCACUGAUAAAAUUUAUUUAGGUCCUUUGGGGAGCAGAAACAGGCAGGGGGGCACAGCACUUUCAAAACAGCAUUUUAUUGCAUUUACGAAUUAUUACAUAAUCAAAAUAAUCUUGCAGUCUACAACUAUACAGGGAGUUCAAAAAUAGGAAAAUUAACAAUACCUUAAAGGAACAAAUAAAUAACACAAAUGAACCACAGUGCUUCCCUGGAAUCUAUAGCACUUAUUUAAGAAGUUGUGUUUGUAAACAAAACAUAAAUUUGUUGGAGAAAGAUUCCAUUUUAUUUCGCAUAGGUCAUGGCUUUUCCAGUUUGCUUCAGGGUUCAGUGAUUUGCUGGCUAUAGCUGCAUGUGCAGAUGCAGAAACUGUUUCAUCCUAGGAAAUAACCGUAGUUUAGCCUUCAUGUGCCAAGUUAAGUCUGUAGAAGUUAAUGGAAACAUUCUUUAAGGCUGUGCCCAAACACAAGGGAUGGUUGGAAUUCAGGAAAACACAUACAAGUCAGAAAGGUUGAAAUUAGUCCAAAAAUUCAUCUUUCCAAUGUUUUAUUUAUUUCUGUUUCUAGCUACAGUAUUUUAAUUGCUUUGCUAAUAUUCAUACUAUAACUCCUAUAUUUCCAGGCUAGUGACCUAUACUGACACCUGAUUUUUGGUCCAUUGAUAGUGAUAUUUUGAGCAAUAUUUUUCUUAACUAUCUUCAGGAUUAGAUAUUCUGCCUUGCUAGCUACUUUGGAAAGGACUUCUUAAGUCCAAUGUAAUCUGUAUAUGUAUAUCUGUGGCUUUGUUUUCAUUUUAAACAAAUUCAUACAAAAGGGGAGAGAUCAGAGCUUUGAAAUGAUGUAAAUGACAUCCACACUGUGAGUGCUGAAUAUAUGCCAGUCCCCUCAACUUAAAAGAUUUUCUGUCAGAUUUAAGCUCAGCUUCCAUUUCCUUAAGGGAAGGAAAACCUAAGCUUUCUGACUACCUCAAGUCCCCCCAUUAUGUGCUUUUAGAACACUGUGUAACACUUGUUUUUAAUGAGUAUCAACACUGCAGUUUCACAUUUAUUUGUGGUUACUUGAUUAACAUCUGUCUCUCCCACUAAACUCCAGGAUCCCUAACUACAGGGAUUGUGUCUGUUUUUCUCAUCCUUAUAUCCUUGGUUCCUAGCAUGUGAUGGGCACUCAGUAAAUGGUUGCUGAAUCAAUGAAUUUUACAAAGCACUACUCUAUAUUAUUUAUAGAAUUUUUUAAUGUUUAAUUAUAAUUUUAAAACAGUCUAAAAACAUAUGCUACUGUUCUAGCACUUUGCUUUCUGUAUAUUAUAUCAUUUUCACAGACCAAUAAAUAACAUCCUCUCUCCCUCCCCACUGUGGAUUCAGCUGAGAGAUAUAUCCAAAAGUCAGCUAUGGAGUAGGGGACAUGGCUUAAAUGUGUGGCCAUAGUGGUGUUACUAAUUCCUCAUCUUUGCUCAUCUCAACUUACUUACCAGUCUCAGUCAGAUCAUUACUUGGGAGCAAAGUGGAGUAAAAGUUACCUUCAAUCAAUGGAUACCUGAGAAGUGGGAAACACCUCAAAGGGGAAAAUGCUGGGAAAAGGUUUAGAGAUGAUUCAAGAGAUCUUGAAGACAGGGAAAGUAAAUGGUGUGAGAGCAUUAUACCUCAGCAGUCAUUUACUGUCUUCAUCUUUGAAAGAGAGUACACAUGAACCAGAGGCAGUCUGCAUGGAGCUGGGCAGUCUCACAUAGGUAGCUCUGGACCGGAGGCCCACACUUUUCAGUGAGGAGAUGAGCAGCUAGCGUGGCUUCUCUGUCUGGGUAAACAUUCGUGCUCCCUGUUGUUGGCUUGGCCUCCCUGUGGCUCCGAGGCAUAGGCCCCUGAAAUUGUGUAUGAGUCUAUGUGUGCUGACCCCAUUCCUCUCUACCUGUUUCUCUCAGAUUCAGUUCCUGCUACUCCCACCUUUGACUUCCACUAAAGUCACACCCCAUCCACCAACUUCCCGUAUUCCUAUCCUCUAAGUUCAGGUGACUCACCUGUAUUUCUCUAAGACAGGUAUGCGUAGAACGAUCUAGUUCUUCUUUUAGUCUCUCCAAAUUUAGUACUUUUUUGUGAAAAGCUCCUUCUCCUCCUCCUUCUUUAUUCUAAAAAGCCAGCUCUGGAGUGAAAAAUAAAACAAACGAAACGUUAAUAUACCUUGAUCUUUUUUGUCCCCUUUCACUAUAGCAAUCAUACUUCUCUUGAAAGCAAUGGUGAAGCCUUUUUCUUACUGGGGAAAAAUUCACAUAAAAAGAAGUGGGAAAAGGAAAUAACAUGGAUUAGUAUUCUGAGAUAGAGUUAUCUUGAAAAAUAAUAAUGCAGCAAAAUACUAUCAGAUAAACACAAUUACCCUCAUUUUAUCAACAAAAAACUGAUUCACCAACAAUGCAAGUUUGUCACAGUCAUAGCCAGAACUAAGCCCAGAAAUUCUGGCUCCACAGCUAAUAACAGAGUGCUUCUCCAAAGAGGAAGCGCUAGAAUGUUCUCUCUUGCCUCAGAAUUUGCACAUGCUGUUUUCCUUGCCCAAUGCCUGGCUAACCCCUACUAUAGUUGUCUCUUAAAUGGGCUGACGUGUGUGUAUUCAUUGCAUGGAAUGAUCCACUGAUAUGCGGGAAGAAAAUAUAACAACUUCAAUAUCUGUGUUUCAAUCUACAAAGUAGAAAUAAGCAAAACUUUGCAAAUGUGUACUCUGACUUGACCCUGGUACCUUCAGUAGCACACGGAGCCCUUGAUGCCCUUGAGGGUUUUCAGAAAGAGAGGAAGAUCAACAGUGAGGUAAGGGCAUAACAAAACUCUCAAUCUUGCUCUCAUGCUGUAUGGGGCAAUGUUUUACAGUUUAUUCAUGCCCAGGUGAGUGGAUUUAUGGGUUAUAUACUCUCAUUCUUAAUAUACUAAGCCUCACAAAAUGAGAAAGCAUCAUAAAAAUUUUUCUAAAAAACCCCUGUAGACUGAAGCUGAUACUAUUAUUUCAAGCACAAGCAAAUGACAAGAAAAGGACAAAGCUAACACAUCGCCUAUCAUGAGUGUGAGCUCUUUUUUUUCAGUCAUGACACUUGAAGUAAAAGACAAUUAGCAGACAAGAUAUUACUCCCAAAUUAGAAUUCUCAAGAAGAAAAAAAUAGGAUAUUAGCUAUAGUAUUCUUAACAAUAAGCCCCACUGUAUGUGUAAUUUGUGCUUUAUUAUUUGUUAAUUGUUGAUAGUAGUGUGUGUAUAUAAUUUAUAAAUGUAUAUUUUUCAUGGAUGGAGUACAUGAUAAAAAGAUAUUAAUACUUUCUAAUCAUUUAGGAUUCAGUUUAGACAUUACAUUAUUUAGAAAACAUGUGUUGAGCCCAUCCACUGUUCCUUUUCCUGUGGUCUCUUAGAAACUUAUACUUUAUUCUUUCAUAAUACUUUUGCAGAACCUUCUAGAAUCAGCUGUUUGCAGCUACCUCCCCCCUAAGACUGUGAGGGCAGGGACGGUGGCCUACUCAUAUUUGAAUUCCUAUGGUAUUCUGGGAUGACAUGAAAUUUAUCCAUCAUAGAAAGGGGAACUUUGUAGUUGUGUGAAUGUUGUUUCAUCACCUAUCAGCCAGAAAGAAAAGAAAUCUUAAAGGAUAAACAUAGAAGUAUAUUAAACUUUCCUUGGUAUCAACUGAACUUUUCCCAUCAGAAGAAGUUCUCUGAGCAGGUGGAGAAAAGACACUGAACAAACUGGAAGCUGUUAAAAAGAGCACUGCUGAAAAACACGUCACAAAUGACUAACAAAUUGUAAAUGAAAAUUGGGUGACUUUCAGGUGGGAGCUGCUAACAGGCUCCGAGGCAGCAUUUGACCUCUUUUAAUGGAAGUUUUAAGAGAGGACUGGAGGUGAUGAAGGGUCAUUCAAAUGAUGUCGGUGGCUCCUGAGUGGUACUCCUGGUGGGCUGCGCCGAUUGUGCUGAAGGAUGGUGGAGAAGGCACAUCAAUCAGCAGGGCAGAAGCCAACUCCCGAGCCAGUCUCUUUCUGUAGCAGUUCAGAAACUGCACAAAGUACAGCAAGUCAGAUCAUUUAUGUAACUUCUGUUUUUAUUAGGAUGUAAUUACAAGAUCUUACAUUUGCUUAGUGCAUUAUGUUUUAAAGCCCAUUUGCCACAUUAAUCCAUU